This 496-nucleotide ribosomal RNA is filed under the name uncultured bacterium. RNAcentral describes it as "partial 16S ribosomal RNA". It matches the Rfam family "Bacterial small subunit ribosomal RNA", at positions 28 to 507 of the family's 1533-position model. The record is from RNAcentral.
GAUGAACGCUGGCGGCGUGCCUAAUACAUGCAAGUCGAGCGAACAGACGAGGAGCUUGCUCCUCUGACGUUAGCGGCGGACGGGUGAGUAACACGUGGAUAACCUACCUAUAAGACUGGGAUAACUUCGGGAAACCGGAGCUAAUACCGGAUAAUAUAUUGAACCGCAUGGUUCAAUAGUGAAAGACGGUUUUGCUGUCACUUAUAGAUGGAUCCGCGCCGCAUUAGCUAGUUGGUAAGGUAACGGCUUACCAAGGCGACGAUGCGUAGCCGACCUGAGAGGGUAAUCGGCCACACUGAAACGGGGACACGGUCCAGACUCCUACGGAGGGCAGCGGUGGGAAAUCUUCCGCAAUGGGCGAAGGCUUAACGAGGCAACGCGGCGUGGGUGAUAAGGGUCUUCGGUUCGUAAAACUCUGUUAUUGGGAAGAAACAAAGGUGUAGGUAACUAUGCACGUCUGAAGGGUACCUAAGCAGAAGGCACGGCUAACUACGUG